GUGGGGAAUAUUGCGCAAUGGGGGAAACCCUGACGCAGCAACGCCGCGUGAGUGAUGAAGGUCUUCGGAUUGUAAAACUCUGUCUUUGGGGACGAUAAUGACGGUACCCAAGGAGGAAGCCACGGCUAACUACGUGCCAGCAGCCGCGGUAAUACGUAGGUGGCAAGCGUUGUCCGGAUUUACUGGGCGUAAAGAGUAUGUAGGCGGACAUUUAAGUCAGAUGUGAAAUCCCCGGGCUUAACCUGGGAGCUGCAUUUGAUACUGGGUGUCUAGAGUGUAGGAGAGGAAAGUGGAAUUCCUAGUGUAGCGGUGAAAUGCGUAGAGAUUAGGAAGAACACCAGUGGCGAAGGCGACUUUCUGGACUAUAACUGACGCUGAGAUACGAAAGCGUGGGGAGCAAACAGG
Molecule: ribosomal RNA, 405 nt
Filed under: bacterium
Lineage: Bacteria
Description: bacterial SSU rRNA
Rfam family: Bacterial small subunit ribosomal RNA
Source: RNAcentral